AGAACACCAAUCAUCCAUCCAUCAUUUACCUCCUCCAUAUUUCACUGGACCUGAAGACCAGUGAUUUCAGGACUUUGAAGACCAUGGAGAAAAGACUUGUUUUGUUCCUCUUCAUCAGAGUCUUCACACUUCAAUGCUAUGCACAGAAUGAGCUUUCAUUUAAUGAGCUGGCAGAACUUUAUCCAGAAUGGAAGAAUCCUGAUUGGAUGAGGCAAGCUAAUGAGGACCUGCUGCUUUCGGAAGUCACUAUCCCUGGUGCCCAUGAUGCAACAGCUUUACGCGGUGGAAGGUUUGCAGAAUGUCAGGCGUGGAGUUUAGAAGACCAGCUUUCAGCAGGGCUGAGAUACUUUGAUCUCAGAGUAGAUGGCUCACUGCAACUGGUUCAUGGACCUAUAAAAAUGAAUAUGAAGUUGGCUGAGGUGCUUGGCACCAUAGUAAAAUUUCUGAAGGAGCACAAUAAAGAAACUGUUUUACUUAGAGUGAAGCCAGAAAAUAAAAAGGUUACUGUAUUUGACAAGACUAUGGAAUUAUUAAAUCAAAACAGCAUAAAGCCAUUUGUAUACAUGUUAGAUGGAAGCAGUGACAACAAUCCAAAACUUAAAACUGUCCGAGGAAAGAUUGUUUUGCUAAAGCUUCCAGGUAAAUUUAAUUUUGGGAUAUCCUAUUUUUCUACACAUAAAAAAAAUGAACAUGUCGUCAGAAAUAUUAAUAAGAAGCUGGCAAUAAUAGUUGAACAUUUGACUACUGCCACUGAAAAAUGC
Molecule: long non-coding RNA, 761 nt
Organism: Anguilla anguilla (European eel)
Lineage: Eukaryota; Metazoa; Chordata; Actinopteri; Anguilliformes; Anguillidae
Exons: 3
Source: RefSeq, a predicted model, not a curated record